This is a long non-coding RNA of Equus caballus (horse), 4411 nucleotides long. Lineage: Eukaryota; Metazoa; Chordata; Mammalia; Perissodactyla; Equidae. The record is from Ensembl.
AGCAGCUACUUUGUGACCAUGAGGGGCAAGCUAAGAGUAAUGGCCUAAGAAGAACCGGGCAGAAGACAGGAAGUUCCACAGCCUAUGAGGACAUCACUGAGCAACUGGACCAGUGUCAGCAAUUACCCACCUCUGCGUAUUUGUUGGAUAUUCUGUUACUUACAGUCAAACACAGUCCUAAUUAAUAAACUCUCUAAGCCUCAUUUUCCUCUACUGGUAACUGGAGCUAACAAUAUUUAUCGACAUUCAUUACACUCAUGUCAUGUGCCAAGAACUCCUCUAGGUGCUGGCGGCACAGUGGUCAAGAAGAGAUAAGCUCCCUCGUCUUUUUGCAUUUACAUUUUGGUGGGAGAGACAGACACUGAACCCAUAAAAAGACAAGAAUAUAUCUGAGCAUGAAAAGUGCCAUGAAGAAAAGAAAAGAAGGCAGUGUGACAGAGGGACUGGUGUGAACAUGUCCUGGGAUCCUCAUGACGGGACUCUGUGGGGAAGUGAUACCUGAGCUGAGACUUGAAUGGGAAGAAAAUGACAUGGUGCUAGAAGCGCCUUUCUGGAGACAGAAGGACUUUCCUGGGUCUUGUUUGUCACAAGCCCACAAACUGACCUCAAAGGGGAGACCAGCCCUUGAUGGCCAGCUUCUUUGCUCCAUCCAGUCUGCCACCCACAGCUUGCCUUAGAAUAUGCGCAGAAACCAUCACACCCCAGCUCUCAGACUUGCAGCGACUUCUUCAAACUAGUUACUUAAUGAACGUCAUCCGGUUCCGAUUCAGCCUUGUCAUAUUCUCAUUUGCAAAAGCCAAUCUGCUUUACGAUUCCAACCUCUGGCUAGAAACCGCUCCCAAUUUCAUGUCAUCCAUAAACUUGAUGAACGAUUAGCUUGCUCCUCUGCAGUCAUUCAUUUAUUUAUUCAACUAACAUGUAGUGAGUGCCUACUGGAUGCUGGGUGCUAGACACAGAGUUAAAGGAGACGCAGGUCUUAUCCUUGAGAAACUCCUAUGCUGGCGGUGGAGCAGACGUGGAAAUGGUUUGUUGCAGGUGUCCUAUGCUCAACCAGGGCAGAGGAUGAGAGCGGCCUCCUCAGGGGAGGGGCGGUGUAAGCUGGCCUUAAGACGCUGGAGGGGGAGACCUUCCCAGCUGGGGAAGAAAUGGUGUCCUAGUUCGAGAGACCAGAAUGUGCACAAGCAAGGAGUUCUGGGUGGUGACGGGAGAAGAAAUGUACUGAUAUCUAUAAACGUGAGGGGCAAUGAGCCUCAGGACAGGAUCCAGCUGGGACCGGGAGGCCUGUCUCUUGGCUCUUCCCGUUUCUGCUUCAUCCUGAGGCUCCAUCUGGUAGCAAAACGGCUUUGAGCAGCCUCAGGGUUACAUCCUCCCAGGUUCAAUUCAUGGAAAAGAAAGUCUGCUCUCCUCUGACAGACUCGGCACUGGGUCUCCCUGGAUCACAUGGUCUCCCCGACCAAUCAGAAUGGCUGGGGGAAUACAGGCACUUUGGCCAGGUCUGAGGCACGUGGUGUCCCUGGACCUGGGGUGGAGUCAGCUGCCUUUGAAGCCCUGGGCUGAAGGGAGGGUGGGGAUUCCCAGGGGAAAGUUGGGUGGUGUUGGUGCUGAGAAGGGUGCACAGGUGCAGGGCUGCCGGAACACAGAUGGCCACUAUGUGGCCACUGGCGCGCUGUGGCACUCUGUCUCCCCAGGUGGUGGAAGGGGAGCCCCGGGGGUCCUUUCUGCGUGGUGGGUACAGGGAGUCACUCACAGGCACUCCGAGGGUGAGGUCGGCCGCGUGAGGCCUCCUCGCUUCCACGCUCUUCUAACUGUCUGCAGGUGGGUUUGGGUGGACUUCCUGCUUUCCCAAAUGCUGGAUUUAAGCCAGUCAGCAUGUAAUCUCCAGCCAGUCCUCUGUCCUCAGCCUCCCCACUCGUCAAGCUCUUUUCCUGCCCUUCCGCCAAACUGAACCUCCAGCCAUUUCGGGAACUCCACGGUGGCCACCGGCACCUUCUAACCAGAACUCGGCACGGGAGGCUCAGCUGGAGCCAGGGCUUGCCUGCUCUAAUGGGCCUCUCAUUGGCACAUCCUGAGCACUGCAGCCUUCCAUCAGGACUUAAGACGGAGUGGUGGGCUCCUCGGUAGAUAGGUAGGGUCCCCGAGGAUAGGUUCCUUGGGGACAGACAGAUCUAGGUUCUAGUCUGUAGGGACCAGGAUUAAGUUCAGCUGUGGGUGACAGACACCACCCCGAGGAGAAAAACAGUGCCCCAAAGACAGAAGUUUAUUUCUCUCUCAAACAAUCAAGAACCUAGAAGGUGGAAGAGAAGUUUCUCAGAGUCAAUGUCAAUCAUUCUUUCUUGCUGCUCAGCUCUCUUGUUUAUUUUUAUUUCUUUUUUAAAGAUCAGCACCUGAGCUAACAACUGUUGCCAAUCUUCUUUUUUUCUUCUUCUUCUUCUUCUCCCCGAAGCCCCCAGUACAUAGUCGUAUACCCUAGUUGUGAGUGCCUCUGGUUGAGCUCUGUGGGACGCCGCCUCAGCGUGGCCUGAUGAGUGGUGUCAUGUCCGUGCCCAGGAUCCGAACCAGCGAAACCCUGGGCCGCCGAAGCAGAGCGCACGAACUUAACCACUCGGCCACGGGCCAGCCCCAGCUCUCUUCUUCAAGUGGCUUCCUCUUCAUGGUCCAUGGUGGCUGUUUGGUUCCAGCCCCUAGGAGAAGAAGGGGACAAAGAAGCGCAUGUUCUCCCUUUCAGGACACUCCCAGAACUGCACGCUACACUUGUGCUUACAGCUCACAGUCAGAAUUGAGUCACGUGGCUAAAAUGGCCCCCAGGGAGGCUGGGAAGAGAGUCUCGAUUCCAGGCAGCCAUGGGCCUUAUUAAAGUGGAUCGCCCACGUUCCAGCAGCCGCGUUCACCGUGUGACAGGUUGGGAAGCACUGUCACACCAGCUUCAACACCCCUGUGAGCCCGAGCUGGGGGAGGAGAGUCACCCCACAGAUCCGACGAGGAAAGCCAGACUCAGAGAAGGCGAGGCCUUGCCCAUGUACAGCUUGAUCCAGGACUCUAUCAAUGUGACCAGUCUUUCCAUGUUGGAUCUGCCUUGAAACAGUCUCCAUUCUCAGCAGGCUCUCCCCUCCUGGUUGGAGGAUGGCUGCCAGAAGAUUCCAACGCCACCCGCUUCUUUAUUCAUGUCCCGUGGGAAAGAUUCCCAGCAUUGAAUCUCUUUGGCCCUGAUCAUGUUGACAUGGGUCACGUGCUCCUUUAUUAAUUAACCUGUCACUGUGUGAUAGGAAAUGCUGAUUGGCUAGGCCAGCCUGGCUCAACCCUUAAGCUGCAUGUGGGGCCAAUUCUAGCCAGAUGCAUGGCUGGGAAAUUUGGGAUUCUCUGAGAAAUGGGGAGGGGAGGAAACAGACACUGUAGAAGCAACAAGCACACUCCAUGCCACCACUCGGUCUCAUUUCUUACCAUUCCCCAUAUACGCCCUCAUCUCUCCCUAAUCAUUGAUCCAGCACCUUCUGGAGGCUCCAGCUCUGUCCCUCCCUAGAAAACCCUCUGUACCAGUCAGGACUCUGGUUGCAAGCGACGGAAACCCAAGUGAAAUGGGCAUGAGCCAAAAGGGAAUUGUCUCACAUAAUUGUAAAGUCCAGAAACAGUGCUGCUGGCAUUAGGCCCGGGUGGUCCCAGGGACCCUGCCAGUGUCAUGGGUGCUUGGCCUCUUCUCCAUCUCCCGGCUCUCUCUCCUCCACGCGACUUCAUUCUCAGGAGACCCUGCCCAGUAAGCGGCAGGGGCGCCCCAGCACCCCAGGCCCUCAUUCGCUGGUUUGCCUAGUGUUCAGCCAAAGCCCCAGGGCGACUUUCAUUGGUCCACCGCUGACCAAUCACUGAGGAGGGGCGGGGCUGGCACCAGGUGACCGGUCUGACCUGGAUCGGUGUGCCCCUGCAGCUGGGGGAGGGGAGCCCCGCCUGACCCGCAGGACUGAUGGAAAGUCUGAAGGUCGUUUCCAGAGAGGAAGCCUGGGAGCUGGGCAGACAGGAGAAGAGCUUCAGUGACCCCGCAGUGUCUUUGUCGGCGCUGCGUUGCUCUGCAUUUUUCUCCAGAAACGUCUCCCCCUCCGUGUGUAGAACAUGGGGAUAAGAAUCACGUCAUCGUCCCUUCUCUGAUUAGUAGGUGCCUAAUAAACCCUGCAGAACAGAAUGCAGCUUGAAAUUUGAUGUGGCAAUCACAGCUACUGUGGAUGGAGCAGCCACCUACGCCAGCUCUUCAGAAGUGUUGUCAGGAAUUACAUUUAAGCAACAGGAUAGUGGUGAGGAAAUGGAGGCCCAGAGAUGUGAGGCAGUUUCCCCAGGUCACACAGCUGAUGAGGGACGGCGCUGGGACCCCCACUCAUGUCUGGCUGGCUCUAAAGCCCCUGGCUUUGCCUGCCCCCUCCAAGCGUGA